This 19-nucleotide transfer RNA is filed under the name Enhydris enhydris. RNAcentral describes it as "partial tRNA-Lys". The record is from RNAcentral. Lineage: Eukaryota; Metazoa; Chordata; Lepidosauria; Squamata; Homalopsidae.
ACCACUUUUCCUCGGUGGU